RNAcentral lists this ribosomal RNA (2723 nucleotides) under Enterobacter cloacae. RNAcentral describes it as "bacterial LSU rRNA". It matches the Rfam family "Bacterial large subunit ribosomal RNA". Lineage: Bacteria; Pseudomonadati; Pseudomonadota; Gammaproteobacteria; Enterobacterales; Enterobacteriaceae. The record is from RNAcentral.
AGCGUACACGGUGGAUGCCCUGGCAGUCAGAGGCGAUGAAGGACGUGCUAAUCUGCGAAAAGCGCCGGCGAGGUGAUAUGAACCUUUGACCCGGCGAUGUCCGAAUGGGGAAACCCAGUGCAAUCCGUUGCACUAUCGUUAACUGAAUACAUAGGUUAACGAGGCGAACCGGGGGAACUGAAACAUCUAAGUACCCCGAGGAAAAGAAAUCAACCGAGAUUCCCCCAGUAGCGGCGAGCGAACGGGGAGCAGCCCGGAGUCUGAAUCAGCUUGUGUGUUAGUGGAACGGUCUGGAAAGUCCGACGGUACAGGGUGAUAGUCCCGUACACGAAAGCACACUUGCUGUGAACUCGAAGAGUAGGGCGGGACACGUGGUAUCCUGUCUGAAUAUGGGGGGACCAUCCUCCAAGGCUAAAUACUCCUGACUGACCGAUAGUGAACCAGUACCGUGAGGGAAAGGCGAAAAGAACCCCGGCGAGGGGAGUGAAAAAGAACCUGAAACCGUGUACGUACAAGCAGUGGGAGCCUCUUUAUGGGGUGACUGCGUACCUUUUGUAUAAUGGGUCAGCGACUUAUAUUCUGUAGCAAGGUUAACCGUAUAGGGGAGCCGAAGGGAAACCGAGUCUUAACUGGGCGUUAAGUUGCAGGGUAUAGACCCGAAACCCGGUGAUCUAGCCAUGGGCAGGUUGAAGGUUGGGUAACACUAACUGGAGGACCGAACCGACUAAUGUUGAAAAAUUAGCGGAUGACCUGUGGCUGGGGGUGAAAGGCCAAUCAAACCGGGAGAUAGCUGGUUCUCCCCGAAAGCUAUUUAGGUAGCGCCUCGUGAACUCAUCUUCGGGGGUAGAGCACUGUUUCGGCUAGGGGGCCAUCCCGGCUUACCAACCCGAUGCAAACUACGAAUACCGAAGAAUGUUAUCACGGGAGACACACGGCGGGUGCUAACGUCCGUCGUGAAGAGGGAAACAACCCAGACCGCCAGCUAAGGUCCCAAAGUCAUGGUUAAGUGGGAAACGAUGUGGGAAGGCACAGACAGCCAGGAUGUUGGCUUAGAAGCAGCCAUCAUUUAAAGAAAGCGUAAUAGCUCACUGGUCGAGUCGGCCUGCGCGGAAGAUGUAACGGGGCUAAACCAUGCACCGAAGCUGCGGCAGCGACGCUUAGGCGUUGUUGGGUAGGGGAGCGUUCUGUAAGCCGUUGAAGGUGUGCUGUGAGGCAUGCUGGAGGUAUCAGAAGUGCGAAUGCUGACAUAAGUAACGAUAAAGCGGGUGAAAAGCCCGCUCGCCGGAAGACCAAGGGUUCCUGUCCAACGUUAAUCGGGGCAGGGUGAGUCGACCCCUAAGGCGAGGCCGAAAGGCGUAGUCGAUGGGAAACAGGUUAAUAUUCCUGUACUUGGUGUUACUGCGAAGGGGGGACGGAGAAGGCUAUGUCAGCCGGGCGACGGUUGUCCCGGUUUAAGCAUGUAGGCGGAGGUUCCAGGUAAAUCCGGUACCUUAUUAACGCUGAGGUGUGAUGACGAGGCACUACGGUGCUGAAGUGAUAAAUGCCCUGCUUCCAGGAAAAGCCUCUAAGCAUCAGGUAACACGAAAUCGUACCCCAAACCGACACAGGUGGUCAGGUAGAGAAUACCAAGGCGCUUGAGAGAACUCGGGUGAAGGAACUAGGCAAAAUGGUGCCGUAACUUCGGGAGAAGGCACGCUGAUAUGUAGGUGAAGUCCCUGCGGACGGAGCUGAAAUCAGUCGAAGAUACCAGCUGGCUGCAACUGUUUAUUAAAAACACAGCACUGUGCAAACACGAAAGUGGACGUAUACGGUGUGACGCCUGCCCGGUGCCGGAAGGUUAAUUGAUGGGGUUAGCGGCAACGCGAAGCUCUUGAUCGAAGCCCCGGUAAACGGCGGCCGUAACUAUAACGGUCCUAAGGUAGCGAAAUUCCUUGUCGGGUAAGUUCCGACCUGCACGAAUGGCGUAAUGAUGGCCAGGCUGUCUCCACCCGAGACUCAGUGAAAUUGAACUCGCUGUGAAGAUGCAGUGUACCCGCGGCAAGACGGAAAGACCCCGUGAACCUUUACUAUAGCUUGACACUGAACACUGGUCCUUGAUGUGUAGGAUAGGUGGGAGGCUUUGAAGCGUGGACGCCAGUCUGCGUGGAGCCAACCUUGAAAUACCACCCUUUAAUGGCUGGUGUUCUAACGUAGACCCGUAAUCCGGGUUGCGGACAGUGUCUGGUGGGUAGUUUGACUGGGGCGGUCUCCUCCCAAAGAGUAACGGAGGAGCACGAAGGUUGGCUAAUCCUGGUCGGACAUCAGGAGGUUAGUGCAAUGGCAUAAGCCAGCUUGACUGCGAGCGUGACGGCGCGAGCAGGUGCGAAAGCAGGUCAUAGUGAUCCGGUGGUUCUGAAUGGAAGGGCCAUCGCUCAACGGAUAAAAGGUACUCCGGGGAUAACAGGCUGAUACCGCCCAAGAGUUCAUAUCGACGGCGGUGUUUGGCACCUCGAUGUCGGCUCAUCACAUCCUGGGGCUGAAGUAGGUCCCAAGGGUAUGGCUGUUCGCCAUUUAAAGUGGUACGCGAGCUGGGUUUAGAACGUCGUGAGACAGUUCGGUCCCUAUCUGCCGUGGGCGCUGGAGAAUUGAGGGGGGCUGCUCCUAGUACGAGAGGACCGGAGUGGACGCAUCACUGGUGUUCGGGUUGUCAUGCCAAUGGCACUGCCCGGUAGCUAAAUGCGGAA